RNAcentral lists this long non-coding RNA (784 nucleotides) under Equus caballus (horse). RNAcentral describes it as "lncRNA (ENSECAG00000047924.1)". Lineage: Eukaryota; Metazoa; Chordata; Mammalia; Perissodactyla; Equidae. The record is from RNAcentral.
CUUGGCCCUCCUACCCUCUCACCAUGAAACGCUUAUCUGAUGCUUACUGUGCACCAGGCACAUUUCUAAGCCUUUUGUAUACAUCAGCUCAUUGGGUCGCUCCAACAACCCUGACAUCAAAAUUGUCCUUCUCAUUUCAGAGAUGAAGAAACUGAGGCACAGAGGAGUGAAAUCAUUGGCUCAGUGCCCCACAUCUCUCUCCAGAAAAGGAAGAGGAAGACGGAGCAUGGGCAGGUCACGGCUGGAGAGGGAGACGGGGUCCGAAGUUGCUGACGGAGAUAAGAGAAUGGGGAUUCAGGAUUCACCGGUUCGGAUCCCGGGUGCUGACAUGGCACCUUUUGGCAAACCAUGCUGAGGGGGAAAGUCCACAUUCCAUCGCUUGGCAUCUGUUCAGUCCACACACACUCCCUGAGCACCCGCUCCAGGCCCCGCCCUGGGCCGGCAACGCAGGGGACACAGCCGGCAGGGAGACAGGCCCAGCCCUGCCCGCACGGGGCUCACACCCCAGCGGGGGCGACACACACAGCGCGACCCAUUUCCACGGAAUCCUAGAGAUGAGCCUGGUGGCCGCUCUGGGAGGUCACGCGGAGUCAUCCUGGCCCCUGGGGGCGUCCCCACUCCCCUUCUCCCUAAAGGACCCUUUCACAAUUUUGGCAAAGUGCAGCCUUCUCCUGUUUGUACCUUAAAUUUGUUCUUUCCGCCUACGUUCUUUGUCCUCCUUUAAUGGGUCCCCAGGGGGCUACCUCGGGGCUCCUCCUAAGCAACAAUAGUCGUGAAAUCACGG